AUAUAUACACAGACAACAAUCUCUCUCACACACACACACAAACACCUGACUCUGCUUUUCUUUUCUUUCGCCUUUCACUGUCCUAGGGUUUCUCGUUUUUCUCAAUUCUCUCGUUUUGGCAGUGUUUUCCAGAAUGAUCAGAGUUCCCAGUCGUCGUAGCUCGCCGUCUUCGACGAGUUCGCGGCGAAGCACGAGCUCUGAUUCCUACGGUUGGGACCGGGCCUCGUACCAAUCGCGGAGCAGUUCCGGCGACGUUCAGCCGGACCCGCUUCUCAAGCCCAUUAAUUUCGUGAUUCAGCUCCUUUGCGAAGAGCAGGAGUUGACGAGAGACGACGUGGACGAAUUGAUUGAGAGAAUAAAGUGCGCGACAGAGAAUUUCACUGUUAUGGAUAGGAAGAACAGGAAUAUUGUGAGUGUGUUUUGUAAUGAGUGGAUCGAUGCGACGGAGGCGUUUGUCGUUUUGUGGAAAAUUCGGUUCGAAGGUACUUAUUUGUAUGUGCCAAAACUGAUUUGUAAUGAUUAUGUGCCUAGGGAGACCAUGGAAGAGCUUAAUGACAAACUUAAAGCGAUUUUUAUUGAGCGCUGUAAUUGGCUUUCCGAGAGUGAUAUGGUUAAGGAUUGCCAAAUGAAGAAUAGAGAGGUUGUUAGUGAGAUACUUAAGAUUAAUGCGAUGUUGGCCAAGCCGCAGCAUUAUACUGUUUGUAGUGAGAUGACGGACAGGAAGAAGCGGCUUGUGAAGGAGAGGGAUUAUUAUGGUAAGAGGGCUAGGGAGUUUCAGCUAGGCAUGAAGUCUAUAAUUGGUUAUCUUCAGGGGAAGCAGGGGAAGGAUAUUCUUGGAGAGGAGAAGGUCAAUGUGUUUGAUUUGAAGGGAGAGAUUGAUUGGUGUAAGAUUGGUAAGUUGAUUGCGAGGGAAUGUAGGCGGCUUGAGGGUUGCUUGCCUGUUUAUUCUGCUCGUCAAGAUGUAUUAAGGCAUUUAACCCGCGAACAGGUACUUGUAUUUAUUGGAGAGACCGGUUCUGGCAAGAGCACGCAGUUAGUUCAGUUUCUUGCAGAUGCAGGAUUAAAUAGCAGUGGCUCUAUCGUCUGCACUCAACCGCGGAAGCUUGCUGCAAUGUCUUUGGCACGGAGAGUUGAAGAGGAAUGUCAUGGGUGCUAUCAGGAUGGCUCCAUUGUAUAUUGCCCAGCAUAUUCUUCCUUUCAAAAAUAUGGUUCGCAUGUAAUAUAUACGACAGAUAAUUGCUUGCUGCAACAUUACUUGAAUGAUAAGAACCUAUCUAGGAUAUCAUGUAUUAUAGUUGAUGAGGCACAUGAAAGGAGCUUAAACACAGACCUCCUAUUAGGAUUGCUGAAGAAGUUACUGCAUCGGAGGCCUGACUUAAGGCUGAUAAUUACGUCAGCGACAAUUGAUGCAAACCGGCUUGCAGAAUACUUUUUCAAUUGCAAGAUUAUACAUGUGGCGGGUAGAAAUUUUCCAGUUGAGAUUCGAUAUGUCCCUUAUUUGACCGAAGGCACUUCUGCCAUCGGAACUUUUGCUUCAUAUGUUUUUGAUGUUUUGAGGAUGGUGACGGAGAUCCAUAGUUCAGAAGGAGAAGGAGCCAUUCUUGCCUUUCUGACGUCUCAAAUUGAAGUUGAAUGGGCUUGUGAGAACUUUGUCUCUCCGUCUGCUAUUGUAUUUGCUUUACAUGGAAAGCUUACAUUUGAAGAUCAAGCUCGCGUUUUCCAUGAUUACCCAGGAAGAAGAAAAAUUAUCUUUGCAACUAAUCUUGCUGAGACCUCCUUGACAAUACCAGGAGUCAAGUAUGUGGUUGAUUCUGGUAUGAUGAAAGAAUGUAGGUUUGAGCCUAGUACUGGCAUGAAUGUUCUUAAAGUAUGCAAAAUUAGCCAGAGCUCUGCAAGUCAACGGGCUGGUCGUGCAGGGAGAACAGAACCAGGCAGGUGCUAUAGACUCUACUCUGAAGAUGAAUUUCGCCUGAUGUCUGUUCAUCGGGAACCUGAGAUUUGUCGGGUUCAUCUUGGGAUUGCAGUUCUGCGGAUCCUUUCGUUGGGAAUCAGUAAUGUACGGAGUUUUGAGUUUGUGGAUGCGCCAAGUGCUACAGCUAUUGAUAUGGCUGUUCAAAAUCUUGUUCAGCUGGGAGCUGUCACAAGAAAAAAUGAUGUUUAUGAAUUGACAGGAGAUGGAUGGAAAUUUGUUAGACUUGGAAUUGAGCCUUGUCUGGGAAAACUAAUAUUAAGUUGCUUCCAAUAUCGAUUGGGUAGAGAGGGUCUUGUUCUGGCCGCUGUGAUGACAAAUUCUAGUAGCAUAUUUUGCAGAAUUGGUACUGAAGAAAACAAGUUGAAGUCUGAUCGCCUGAAGGUGCAGUUCUGCCAUUGUGACGGUGAUCUAUUUACCUUACUCUCUGUGUACAGGGAAUGGGAGAGUGUGGCUCAUGAAAAGAGGAAUAGUUGGUGUUGGGACAAUAGUAUAAAUGGGAGAUCCAUGAGGAGGUGUGCAGAAAUGGUGAAAGAACUAGAAAGUUGUCUUCUAAACGAACUUCAUAUUAUAGUGCCCACUUACUGGGCUUGGUCUCCACUAAAGAAGACUAGGCAUGAUUCCAAUUUAAAGAAAGCCAUACUUUCUUCCCUAUCGGAGAAUGUGGCUAUGUAUUCUGGAUAUGAUAAGCAUGGAUAUGAAGUAGCAUUGACUGGGAAUCAUGUCCAGCUGCAUCCGUCAUGUUCAUUACUUGCUUUCAGUGAGAGGCCAAGUUGGGUAGUUUUUGGUGAAAUCCUUUCUGUGAGUAACCAAUAUUUGGUGUGCGUAACUGCUAUUGAGAUUGAAUGUUUGGAUACUUUUUACCCUCCUCCUCCAUUUGAUAUAUCUGAGAUGAGCAGGCGGAAGCUGCAAGUAAGUGUUUUAAGGGGUUUUGGGAGUACGCUACUGAAAAAGUUAUGUGGCAAGUUUAAUAGUAAUCUGCUUAGCCUUGUUUCACGUAUAAAAAUUGCAUGCGGUAAUGAACGGAUUGUUGUUGAAGUUGAUAAAGAUUUGAAUGAAAUCCUCUUAUAUGCCUCUAUCCAAGACAUUGAGAAGGUUUAUAGCCUUGUUACUGAUGCAGUUCAAUAUGAAAGAAAUUGCUUACAGAAUGAAUGUGUGGAGAAGUGCUUGUACUUUGGAGGACGUGGCGUUUCAUCCCCUGUCGCUUUGUUCGGAGCUGGCGCUGAGAUAAAACAUCUAGAGCUUAACAAGAGACAUUUGAGUAUUGACGUUUUCUAUUCAAAUGCCAUCGAUAAUAAGCAGCUUGUAACAUUUCUGGAGGGGAGCACCUCAGGUAGUAUUUGUGCACUACAUAAUUUGACAGGCAGCGGAAAAGAUACCCAAGAGGAGGGGCAGUGGAGCAGAGCAACAUUUCUUUCACCCGAAGCAGCUGAAAAAGCUGUUCAGUUAGAUGGAGCUGACCUCGGGGAUAACUUGCUUAAGGUAGUUCCUGUACAGAGUACUUAUGGAGGUGAUCAUAAAUUGUUCUCAUUUCCAGCUGUGAAAGCUAAAGUUUACUGGCCACGUAGAGUUAGCAAGGGGUUUGCGGUCGUGAAAUGUGACAUACAAGAUGUUGCUGGCAUUACUGAGGAUUUCUCUAACUUGUUUAUUGGAGAGAAUUUUGUACAAUGUGAACCUAGUCUGAAGAGUAUUGACAGUGUUGUAGUACGUCGCCUUGGUAAGGAACUUUCUGAGAGUGAAAUACAUGAAAUUUUAAGUGCUGCUACAGACAGAAGAAUACUGGACUUUUUCCUGGUCAGGGGAGACCCUGUUGAAGAUCCUCCAUGCAUCACAUGUGAAGAAGCCCUUCUAAGAGAAAUUACUCCUUUCAUGCCCAAAAGGAACUCUCAUGUCAGUUCAGUCCACAUCCAGGUCUUUCCGCCAGAGCCCAAAGAUAUAUACACCAGAGCUCUGAUAACCUUUGACGGGAGUAUGCAUUUGGAGGCUGCGAAAGCAUUGGAGCAGCUUGAAGGGAAAGUGUUGCCUGGAUGCCGUCCAUGGCAGAAGAUACGGUGCCAACAGGUGUUUCAUAGUUAUGUCUCUUGCUCUCCAUCGGUUUAUUUCAUUAUAAAAGAGCAGCUGAACGAUUUACUAUCGAACCUCCGCCAAAGAAAAGGUGUACAAUGCCAUCUUGACAGAAAUGAGAAUGGUUCCUAUCGAGUAAAACUAUCUGCCAAUGCUACAAAAGUUGUGGCAGAGUUGAGGAGACCUCUGGAGCAGUUGAUGAGGGGAAAGAAGAUAGAUCAUCCUGACCUUAUUCCACCUGUUCUGCAGCUGCUUUUCUCCAGGGAAGGAAAAUCUAUUAUGAUGUCAAUUGAGCGAGAGACUGGGACAUAUAUUUUCUUUGACAGGCAGUGCCCUAGUAUAAGGGUCUUUGGUUGUUCAAACAAGAUCGAGUUAGCGGAGCAGAAACUGAUUCAGUCCCUUUCAACUCUACACAAGACCAAGCAACUUGAAGUCCAUCUUCGAGGUUGUGGUUUGCCUCCUGAUCUUAUGAAGAAUGUUGUAAACAAAUUUGGUCCUGAUCUACGCAGUCUCAAGGAAGCGGUUCCUGGUGCAGAAUUCACUCUCAAUACGCGGCACCAUACCAUCUCUAUUCAGGGAAGCAAGCAAGAUAAGCAAAUGGUUGAAGAAAUAAUACAUCAAAUUGCACAGACAAGCCCUCAAGUUAAAAUUGAGGAUGAAGCUUCUUGUCCUAUUUGCUUGUGUGAAGUUGAAGAUGGAUUCCGGUUGGAAGCAUGUGGACAUGAAUUUUGCAGAUCGUGCUUAGUUGAGCAGUGCGAGUCAGCCAUAAAAAGCCACGAUAGUUUCCCAAUGUAUUGCUCCUAUCAAGGCUGUUCUGCUCUGCUUCUAAUUGCUGACUUGAGGAUUCUUUUGUCAAAUGAGAAGUUAGAUGAACUUUUCAGGGCUUCUUUAGGUGCUUUCGUUGCAGCAAGUGGGGGUAAAUACAGGUAUUGCCCCUCUCCUGACUGUCCUUCAGUCUAUAGAGCAGUAUUGGAUCCUGAUUGUGAUGGCACGCCAUUUUUUUGUGGUGCCUGCUCUGUUGAAACAUGCACGAAGUGUCAUUUGGAGUACCAUCCAUAUCUCUCAUGUGAGAGGUAUAAGAUAUACAAGGAAGAUCCAGAUUCCUCAUUAAAGGAGUGGUGCAAGGGGAAGGAGAAUGUGAAGCCCUGUCCACUUUGUGGUUUUACAAUCGAAAAGGUCGAGGGAUGCAACCAUGUAGCAUGCAGGUGUGGGAGGCAUAUAUGUUGGGUCUGUCUGGAUUCUUUUAGCAGCAGCGAAGAUUGUUACAAUCAUCUGACGUCCAUUCACGAGGCAAUUAUUUAAAGACCCGGUCAGAUUGUUCGGGUGAUGUACAUGUACAUUCAACAUUAAUCAAAAGACUUACAUUCUGAACCCGAACUCGAAUUUAUCUGGCUGCAGUUUCUCCAUUGACUCCAACUUACCUCUAAAAGGAGGUGGUGCUCUGAAGGCUUAGCAAAUUAAGCCCAAGCAGAGAACAUUUCACAUGAAGGUCGAGAUCUUGUUCACAGUAUUGGAUAGACUACUGAAAUGUAAGUUUUUAAGAGAUGUGCAACAAGUGAUUUACCCCUCGAGUACUAAUCAAGUACCAAGUGAGAAACCCCCGAGUACCAAUCAAGUACUAAGUGAGAAUGAGUUUCUUAUUUCACACAAUAAAUUGUUAAUAGAAAUAUGAGUACGAGAUCCGAUUCCUGUUAAUCACGAAUCAAAAGCAUUCUAAACAUCAAAAGCCUUCUAAACAUAUUUCUCUUGUGAAUUCUGUGGUCAUGGGAUCCAUAAUGAACUGAACUGAACCGAAAUUCGAUUCCAUAUACUUUGGUCAACGGACGUGUAACAUCAGUCCGUGCAAUAUGUAACAAAGCUGAUCAUGUUUGCACAAAAUCUUUGCUA
This is an RNA transcript of Daucus carota subsp. sativus, 5920 nucleotides long. It is a transcript of the gene named ATP-dependent RNA helicase DEAH11, chloroplastic, with no coding region annotated. Lineage: Eukaryota; Viridiplantae; Streptophyta; Magnoliopsida; Apiales; Apiaceae. The transcript is spliced from 4 exons. The record is from RefSeq and is a predicted model, not a curated record.